UACGUAGGGGGCGAGCGUUGUUCGGAUUUACUGGGCGUAAAGGGCGCGUAGGCGGCUCAUUUUGUCAGGCGUGAAAGCCCCGGGCUUAACCUGGGAACUGCGUUUGAUACGGAUGGGCUAGAGUUCGGGAGAGGAGAGUGGAAUUCCCAGUGUAGAGGUGAAAUUCGUAGAUAUUGGGAAGAACACCGGUGGCGAAGGCGGCUCUCUGGACCGAUACUGACGCUGAGGCGCGAAAGCGUGGGGAGCAAACAGG
This 253-nucleotide ribosomal RNA is filed under the name uncultured bacterium. RNAcentral describes it as "partial 16S ribosomal RNA". It matches the Rfam family "Bacterial small subunit ribosomal RNA", at positions 524 to 776 of the family's 1533-position model. The record is from RNAcentral.